RNAcentral lists this long non-coding RNA (3394 nucleotides) under Sus scrofa (pig). RNAcentral describes it as "lncRNA (ENSSSCG00030073031.1)". The record is from RNAcentral. Lineage: Eukaryota; Metazoa; Chordata; Mammalia; Artiodactyla; Suidae.
GUUCCUGAGCAGUAGCGGAAUCCACUGAUCAAUCUUCACAUUACAAAAAGUAAGACAAGCAAACUUUAUGGCAGAUGCAAUACAUUAUGAAUCUUUAGAUCUAACUUAGUCUAGAAAAAAUUCAGGGAAUAGAGGCAAAAAUUAAAUGAUGCCAUGAAAAAUUAAUCAGCAAAAUCCAGAAUGGGAGGCAUUCUUCAGGAUAACCACUUGGUUUCUGCAACAAGUCUGUGUGGUAUGUGGAAAAGCACAGUUGUGGGGUGGGGGAGGGAGGCAGUAUCUGUUCUAGUUUAAAAGAUAGUUAAGAGUCACAGCAAUCAAAUAUAGUGAAUGAAUGUUUUUGAAUCCUGAUUCAAACAAUCCAACUGUUAAAAGACAUGUUAGACAAUCAGGAAAACUAAACAGAGAAUAGAUGAUAUUAAGGAAAUCUUGUUAAUUGAGGAACUUAAUUUUGUGAGGUGUGAUAGUGGUCCUGUGGUUUAUAUAAAGAAGAAAAUAUCUUUUAAAAAGAGAACUUGGGGUUCUCGUCAUGGCUCAGUGGUUAAUGAAUCCGACUAGGAACCAUGAGGUUGCAGGUUCAAUCCCUGGCUUCACUCAGUAGGUUAAAGAUCCGGCAUUGCCGUGAGCUGUGGUGUAGGUCAGAUGAGGCUCAGAUCCCACGUUGCUGUGGCUCUGGCGUAGGCCAGUGGCUACAGCUCCGAUUCGACCCUAACCUUGGAACCUCCAUAUGCCACGGGUGUGGCCCUAGAAAAGACAAAAAAUAAUAAUAGUAAUUAAAAAAGAGAGAGAGAGAACUUAAGUAUUUCAGGGUGAAAUAAUACAGAAUCUGAAAUUUACCUUAAGAUAUUCCAGCAGGAAAAAGUUGGAGGAGGAGAUAUGAAACAAGUAUUAAUGGUGGUUAAAUCAGGCUGAUGGUUAUAAGAGCUCAAUGUGCUCUCUACUUUAUGUUUGAAAAUUUUUAUAACAAAACAUAAAUCAUACAAACCAACAAAUAACAAAGAGACAAAAAAAAAAAAAACAACCCACAAGAUGAGCUCCAGAAUUAGACAGUGAAGAGACUGAAUCCUAGCUCCACCAAUUAUUAAUUAUGCAAAUCUGGGCAAAUCAUUUAACUUUAAGCACCGUGCUCCUAUCAAAUGGAGGAAAUAGCACUCGCAUUUACUAAGUUUGAAUGAGAUACUCCAAAUAAAGCAGAAAGAAUGUUUCUAGUACAUUGAAAAAGUCCAAUAAAUGUCAGCCAUUGCUAUCAUUGCUAUUAGUAGCAGCAAUAUUGUAAAAGAUGCAACUGCAAAGACUCUUGAAUAGUUCUUAAUGUAAAGGGCCAAUGUUUCUUUUCAUCAAAAUUCUUAUUUCUUUUUCAAAAACACAUUUAAAUACACAAUACCAAACAUCUAUAAAUAACUAUUUUUCCUUUUCUAUUACUCAGCUUUUGAAAACUAAUAAGCACAAAAAUCAAUAAAACAGCAAAGGUCAAUUGUUUCAAAUUUUAUACUAUUCUUCAAUUAGUAUUCUAUAAUUUGUGGUUCUUUUUUAAUUUAAAUUUUCUCUACAUGAUACAUAAAAGAAAUUAUAUGGCUAAUAGCAAAUCUAAGAAACAUUCAAAGCCAUCUUUUUUUCAACUGAAAGCUGAAAAUAUUUUUCUCAUUUCUAAACAAAAUCACUUAGGUGCUCAUAAUAUAUACGCUUUACAUAAUACCAAAAAAAAUCCCUUUUGUAAAUAAAAAAUUAUACGGAAGUCGACAGAGCUGAGGUAACUGAGAAAUUUUUCCUUUCACUUUUAAUCAGGCUUCCUGUUGUAAGAGCUCAGCAGACAGUGACGCGAGACACUGCCUCCCAACUUCAGUUCACCUUUGCAGUUCCACAAGGGACACCAUGUCAAGAUUGUUCAGCUUUUUUGAUGAGUGCUGCGUGGGUAACUAAUGUGUAAAUGCAGAUACGUAUAGAAAGCAGUUUUGACAGUGAUGUAUUGCAACUGGUUCCAGAUGUCGGUAAGAGAUGCUUGGCCAGGCAUCUGGGGCUCCACUGCCACAGAGCAGUGCCAGGACCAAGCCAAUCUUCAAAAGACCAUGGCACCUUAAUUCUUCAAUUAGAAUCUUCUUAAAACAAUUACUUUUUGCUUCUCUUCUUUCAGAAAAAAAACACUGAAAUAUUUCUAUUUUGUUGUUUUCUUAAAUUUAAAGAAAGGAAGGUUGAAAUAUGGAGCAUCCUAACAGUUUGGCUGAAAGAAAACUUCAAAGCCAACUGCUGAGAUACUCAAAAUUAAGCACAUAUCGAUGUCAUAUAAUGAGAAUUUAACUAAAUUACACUGAAACUUGAAUACGUAUAGAAGUUUAAGCAAGCCCUGGUUAGCAAAGUAAAUGUUGAGUUUGCUCACCUAAUGAUACUAGAAUUCCUAAGAUCAUCAUUAACAUAGCACAUAUAUAACAAUAAUUAUAAAUCAAAUUAUCAAGCUUAUUUCUCUUUUUGCUGUCUAUAAACUUGACAAGUGUAUAUUAGCUAAAGAAAAUUACUGCAUUUGCACUGACUUUAAGAACUAAAUGAUAAAUUCUGUAAUACUGUAUUUUGGGAAUAAAAUCCUAGAAAAGGACUGACAAGCAGCCUGUGAAUAAAUGAAAUUCCUGGUCCACUGGCUAAUAAAGUGCAAUAAGAUGUAUACAAAAAUUCCAAAGUAGAAAGACAUUAUUACAAUCAUGCAAUGAAUAGCCUUUAACCUUUAAAAUUGAUAAAGUUGCACUUUGUACAUGAAAAAUGUUGUAGCACAGCUCCAACAUAAGCAUUUGGUCUAAAGGGAAUUUUUUCAAAUAACCUGUCUGUCUCCCUCCUCUUUCAAUACCAAACUCACUGCUCCAAUCAAAAAAACUCUCAGGGGAUUACCUACAGCUACAUUCUCUCCAUGUGGUUUUGCUAUAAGGCAUUUUCUCAUUGAUCAAGGGAACAGCAGAAAGCAUGCGUUCUGUUUAUCCUGCAACAAAGAAGGUGACUUAUGUUACUGAUUUUCAGUAUCAAAUCAAAGGUUUUAAAAUACUUUUAAUAAAGGCAAACUGGUCUGUCAGAAUGAUGUUUAGAACUCUAUGUUCCUUUUGAUUUCCUAAUAAAUUAAAUAUAUUGAACAUUCUAAAUACGUUACAAAACUUCUAAUCUGUGAGAGAACCUUGUGGUCAAUAACUUCCUGUUAAAAAUAAAUUUUUUAACUACAGCCCAAAGCUGCUUUGUUUGGUCAGAUACAGCUUGAUAUGCUAAUUGAAAGGUCAAGAGUAGUUUUAAAAACUGACCGAUCUUAUUUUUUUAGAUGGAUCAUCAAAUUUAUUUCUAACCUUGCAUUUAAAUGAUCAACCAGUAAAAUUUUAUUACAAGCUUAGAAUACAUUAAAGAAUGGUGCCAGAUAGCAAAGAGCUAU